GAAAUGUGAUAAGUAGUGUGAAUUGCAGAAUUCAGUGAAUCAUCGAAUCUUUGAACGCACAUUGCGCCCUUUGGCAUUCCGAAGGGCAUACCUGUUCGAGCGUCAGUUGCACAACUCAAGCACAGCUUGGUGUUGGGCGUCUGUCCCGCCUCCGCGCGCGGACUCGCCCCAAAUUCAUUGGCAGCGGUCUUUGCCUCCUCUCGCGCAGCACAUUGCGCUUCUCGAGGUGUCGCGGCCCGCGUCCAGAAAAGCAAUCGUUACCGUCUUUGACCUCGGAUCAGGUAGGGAUACCCGCUGAACUUAAGC
Molecule: unclassified non-coding RNA, 306 nt
Filed under: plant metagenome
Description: partial contains 5.8S ribosomal RNA, internal transcribed spacer 2, and large subunit ribosomal RNA
Rfam family: 5.8S ribosomal RNA (bases 1-105)
Source: RNAcentral